UACGAAGGGGGCUAGCGUUGCUCGGAAUCACUGGGCGUAAAGGGCGCGUAGGCGGCGUUUUAAGUCGGGGGUGAAAGCCUGUGGCUCAACCACAGAAUGGCCUUCGAUACUGGGACGCUUGAGUAUGGUUGAGGUUGGUGGAACUGCGAGUGUAGAGGUGAAAUUCGUAGAUAUUCGCAAGAACACCGGUGGCGAAGGCGGCCAACUGGACCAUUACUGACGCUGAGGCGCGAAAGCGUGGGGAGCAAACAGG
Molecule: ribosomal RNA, 253 nt
Filed under: uncultured bacterium
Lineage: Bacteria
Description: partial 16S ribosomal RNA
Rfam family: Bacterial small subunit ribosomal RNA
Source: RNAcentral